GCAGUCGAGCGCAGGAAGCAAGUUGAUCCCCUUCGGGGGUGACGCUUGUGGAAUGAGCGGCGGACGGGUGAGUAACACGUGGGCAACCUGCCUGUAAGACUGGGAUAACCCCGGGAAACCGGGGCUAAUACCGGAUAAUACUUUCUUUUGCAUAAAGGAAAGUUGAAAGGCGGCUUCGGCUGUCACUUACAGAUGGGCCCGCGGCGCAUUAGCUAGUUGGUGAGGUAACGGCUCACCAAGGCGACGAUGCGUAGCCGACCUGAGAGGGUGAUCGGCCACACUGGGACUGAGACACGGCCCAGACUCCUACGGGAGGCAGCAGUAGGGAAUCUUCCGCAAUGGACGAAAGUCUGACGGAGCAACGCCGCGUGAGUGAUGAAGGUUUUCGGAUCGUAAAACUCUGUUGUUAGGGAAGAACAAGUACGAUAGUAACUGAUCGUACCUUGACGGUACCUAACCAGAAAGCCACGGCUAACUACGUGCCAGCAGCCGCGGUAAUACGUAGGUGGCAAGCGUUGUCCGGAAUUAUUGGGCGUAAAGCGCUCGCAGGCGGUCCUUUAAGUCUGAUGUGAAAUCUCGCGGCUCAACCGCGAACGGUCAUUGGAAACUGGAGGACUUGAGUACAGAAGAGGAGAGUGGAAUUCCACGUGUAGCGGUGAAAUGCGUA
RNAcentral lists this ribosomal RNA (667 nucleotides) under Oceanobacillus picturae. RNAcentral's name for it is "bacterial SSU rRNA". It matches the Rfam family "Bacterial small subunit ribosomal RNA", at positions 39 to 692 of the family's 1533-position model. The record is from RNAcentral. Lineage: Bacteria; Bacillati; Bacillota; Bacilli; Caryophanales; Bacillaceae.